RNAcentral lists this long non-coding RNA (1170 nucleotides) under Homo sapiens (human). RNAcentral describes it as "HSALNT0169451". Lineage: Eukaryota; Metazoa; Chordata; Mammalia; Primates; Hominidae. The record is from RNAcentral.
GAAACACCUGGAGGAAGAAGGGUGAAUGGGAAACACCUGGAGGAAGAAGGGAGUGGGGAGGAGUUCCAAGCAGAAGGGACCGAGCCGCAUGGACUGGGAAUUCUAAGUGGCUGGAUAGAAAGCGUCUGUCAAAGACGGUGACACGUUAGGCCAGAGAGAUUUGGGGACCUGAAGGCCUCGAAGGUCUCUCUCUGUGUUACUUUCAUGGGCGUGGAGUACAGAUGUGUCUCAGAGCACCCCUACACUUGUGCAGUGCACAACUCAAAUAACUGAGCAGGGUGACCCUGCCCCACUAAGGGAGAUGAGCUUUAUCUUGAGGGGAAUGGGCAGCCUUCAGAGGGUUUGAAGCAGAAGAUUGACAUGGCUAUAAAUGUGAGUUUAAAAGAUCACAGUGGCUGUGGAGCAUGUGUUAGAGGAAGAAAAGGCGGAGGCAGGAAAGCAGUUGGGAGGAAGCCUUGUGAAUGCAGGUGAGGCUUGUCAGGGCUGCUUUCAGGCAGUGCUGGGGAGAAUGGAGGGGCGCAUGCUGUGUGGGGCCCGCAGUGGCUUCUGUAGGAGCUUGAGAGUGACAGCACAAGGAAUGAAGAAAAUGUCCAAUCCACUGUAAACAUCUUCGAGCCUACAGAAGACCUGUUUCCUGCUCUACAAGAAGGAAUGGGGGUACUGAUAUUUAGGAUGAAUCUGCUCUAUAUCAGAUGCUUUUUCCACGUUUCCUAUAUUCUCAGGUGGCUUCAUUGCGCCAGACAGCCCCACCGUAGCCUGGGCCCUGAGCUUCUGCCUACCAGGCUGUCAGCAACAUCUCAGCAACAGGCUCCAGCCAGUUGGCACAUACCUGGCUCAGCUCUACAGGUAGCAGUGAUGCUUUUAGGACCUCGUUUGUUAUUUUUCAGACCUAACCUCAUUGCUCUGCACUUCAGGGGCUGAAAUGCAACUCCCUGUGGGGCCCAAGGGGACUUUUGGCCUCUCUGCAGCCUGCUGGUCCCUGGAGGAUCUACCUCGUGCUGCUCACCCAAACCCUGCACGGCUGGCAAAUCCCUUCUGGGUUUUGUUUGAGGCACCAGAGGCUCCCCUGAGGCAUUGAAUUCUGAUUUUAUUGUUGCUGUUGCUGUUGAUGUUUGUGUCCAUACAUUUUGCAACUUCCCACAAACUUGUACAUCCAAAUGCUUUGCCCUG